UGUGAAUAGUGAUUGCCAUGG
Molecule: microRNA, 21 nt
Filed under: Prunus persica (peach)
Lineage: Eukaryota; Viridiplantae; Streptophyta; Magnoliopsida; Rosales; Rosaceae
Description: ppe-miR6269
Source: miRBase by way of RNAcentral